AACGAACGCUGGCGGCAUGCCUAACACAUGCAAGUCGAACGAGAACUUCGGGUCUAGUGGCGCACGGGUGCGUAACGCGUGGGAACCUGCCCUUAGGUUCGGAAUAACUCCCCGAAAGGGGUGCUAAUACCGGAUAAUGUCUUCGGACCAAAGAUUUAUCGCCUUUGGAUGGGCCCGCGUUGGAUUAGCUAGUUGGUAGGGUAAAAGCCUACCACGGCGACGAUCCAUAGCUGGUCUGAGAGGAUGAUCAGCCACACUGGGACUGAGACACGGCCCAGACUCCUACGGGAGGCAGCAGUGGGGAAUAUUGGACAAUGGGCGGAAGCCUGAUCCAGCAAUGCCGCGUGAGUGAUGAAGGCCUUAGGGUUGUAAAGCUCUUUUACCCGGGAUGAUAAUGACAGUACCGGGAGAAUAAGCUCCGGCUAACUCCGUG
This 433-nucleotide ribosomal RNA is filed under the name uncultured bacterium. Its description in RNAcentral is "partial 16S ribosomal RNA". It matches the Rfam family "Bacterial small subunit ribosomal RNA", at positions 29 to 507 of the family's 1533-position model. The record is from RNAcentral.